CUUGAGCUUUUCAGUGUCCUCCGCUCCAGACUGUGCUUCCCAGAGGCGGUCUGUGGGGACCGCUGGCCACUCCCCACCGCUGGCCGGCCGCACGCAGAGCCCCGCGCGCACACUUGUUAGGAACUUUCCAGGAGACUGCCUGUGGGACCAGAGAAGGAAGAAACCUGUCCAGAAAUGAGGCGACUUAAUGUUCGGACACCAUUGCAUCAAGCGUUUUAAAACUGCCCUGACCAUCUUGUCAAAUGAGUCUCUGCUCAUG
This 259-nucleotide long non-coding RNA is filed under the name Rattus norvegicus (Norway rat). Its description in RNAcentral is "long non-coding RNA NONRATT003714". The record is from RNAcentral. Lineage: Eukaryota; Metazoa; Chordata; Mammalia; Rodentia; Muridae.